Dermacentor andersoni is the source of this 1955-nucleotide long non-coding RNA. RefSeq lists it as uncharacterized. The record is from RefSeq and is a predicted model, not a curated record. Lineage: Eukaryota; Metazoa; Arthropoda; Arachnida; Ixodida; Ixodidae.
UCCAUCGUCGACCUAACUACAUUCCCCCUGCCUACAAGAUUAACAACUGCACUAUAUCUACUACUGAUUCCUUCAAGUACUUAGGAAUUCACCUAUCCAAAGGUUUGUCUUGGACAAAUCACGUAAGCCACAUAAUUAAUUCAGCUAACAAAAUUCUUGGUUAUCUUCGCCGUAAUCUAUUCAUGGCACAACCACCCGUGAAAUCAUUUGCCUAUAAAACGCUUGUGCGACCAAAACUUGAAUAUGCAUGUGCUAUCUUUGACCCUUACCAAACUAAUCUCACUAAAGCCCUUGAAAGCGUUCAAAACCGUGCUGCUAGAUUUAUUCUUUCAGAUUGCUCAUAUCACACUAGCGUUUCAUCACUAAAAUCUAAACUAGACCUAUCGCCUCUUGCCUCUCGUCGUCGCAUCUCUCGCCUAUGCCUCUAUCACAGGUUUUUUUUAUUCCAUACCUCGUGACAGCCAGCUGGUCCAGCUGGCUCAUCGUGUUCGUCGAACAGGCCAUCCGAACUCCGUAAUCCCACCACAAGCCCACACCACUACGUUCCUGCACUCAUUCUUCAUCCGAACUGCCCGAGACUGGAAUGGCCUUCCCAGACAAACUGCACUCAUCCGCGAUACAGCACGCUUUAGAUCUGCCAUUGAGUGUUCCGACUCGUCUUUCUAAUUUCCACAUCAUCAAUCCCGCCUUUUACAUGCCCACCCCUCAUGUAAUCUCCUUUUUGGACCCUUGAGGUAUUAAUAAAAAAAAAUAUAAAAUAUCAAGAAUCACCCACCAACCAUAACUGAUUUCGCAAUUUUAAUGCUAAUAGCAUAAAACGCCAAUCAUUUCUAAACGAUGCAUGCACCGACAAUUUUUCUAAUACAAGUCAAUUUUUCUCUUUAGUGCCCUUCCAUGCAACAAGCUUGCUUCAGAAGCUUAAAGAAGAGGAGGCUCUGGUUCAGCAGCAACAAACAUUUUCUGAUCGUGAAUCAUACAUUGAACACCCAAGACUGGCAAAGGUGCCGUGGCAGGAACAACUCGUAACACAAGCACGUUGUGACAGUUCGAAAAUUCAGAGGAGAAAUUAUUUCGACGUCACCGCCAUACUUUAUGUCAAGAUACGCUUGGUUCCAGCAUUUCAAGAUGAGGGAAAUGCCGCGCUGGUACCGUUCGUGUUCAAGCCACCAAAGAAGACAUCGCCGUUCCUAUUUUCAAGUGAGAAUGCUUCUGCAGCCCAUCCAUUGCUAUUGCCGGGGCUAUAGAAGCAAUGCCAAUUCUCAAGCAGAAGUGGGCCAUUGGUUUGAAGAGCUGUUCCUGUCCAUGAAAAAAAAAAUAAUGCAGGCCCAAUGCACAUCAUGAAAUCUGUGUGAGGGGAAGACUAACGUGCUCGUACUACGCAACGUGAUGUACACAGUGACCAUCUCGAAAACAACCUCACAAGGGCGGAGGAAGUACCCCUGAGGUAAAUCUGGGCUGUGGUCAACUUAAUCGCUGCUGCCACGUGCAAGUGGAAGCGUUUCAUCGAAUACAAUGCCACCUGUCUCAACUAUACGGCACUGGCACAAGGCGCCAAUGUGUACCACCUGCUGUGGACUUGCCAAAGCACAUAACACUCCUGUGAGCCCUUGCUCCGACUACCUAGAGUUGCCUCCACAGUGACUGGCAUGCUGUCGUCAUGGAAUCCAGUCAUCAACGUUGUCGCCAUCAGUACCGGAAAAUUUGCCAGGGCCACGUGGUGGAGCCAGGAUGACGAAUGGCAUAGCAGCCGCCUCCGACGCAGUUUCGUCGCCGGUAGACAUGCUUAGAAUGGCGACUAGGCAGCUGCUGCAGAUCUUCAUGUUGCACUAGGCCCCAGCACCUACACCAAGAUUUGCGUGGUGACCUACAGGUCUUCAAGACUGGGACAGCUUCCAUGUUAAGCCGGAUGGACAAGUACCAUAUUUGCAUAAUUAUAACAUGCACAUUUUUUUAAA